AGCAUGUGAUGAGUUCCACUUCAGGUCCGUGUUUCUGAACCACAUGAUCUUAAUGGAAGUUCUGAUUUG
Molecule: non-coding RNA, 69 nt
Organism: Pelobates cultripes (western spadefoot toad)
Lineage: Eukaryota; Metazoa; Chordata; Amphibia; Anura; Pelobatidae
Source: the annotation of a GenBank genome assembly